ACCCCUGUAGCUCAGACGGAUAGAGCGGCGGUUUCCUAAACCGCAGGUCGGGCGUUCGAAUCGCCCCAGGGGUA
This 74-nucleotide transfer RNA is filed under the name Caldifarciminota bacterium. Its description in RNAcentral is "candidate division WOR-3 bacterium (sediment metagenome) tRNA-Arg". It matches the Rfam family "tRNA". From Rfam's summary of the family: Transfer RNA (tRNA) molecules are approximately 80 nucleotides in length. The record is from RNAcentral. Lineage: Bacteria; Pseudomonadati; Caldifarciminota.